RNAcentral lists this ribosomal RNA (253 nucleotides) under uncultured bacterium. Its description in RNAcentral is "partial 16S ribosomal RNA". It matches the Rfam family "Bacterial small subunit ribosomal RNA", at positions 524 to 776 of the family's 1533-position model. The record is from RNAcentral.
UACAGAGGUGGCAAGCGUUGUUCGGAAUUACUGGGCGUAAAGGGCGCGUAGGCGGUCUUGUCAGUCCCUUGUGAAAUCCCCCGGCUCAACUGGGGAACUGCACGGGAAACAGCAGGGCUUGAGUUCGGGAGAGGGAAGCGGAAUUCCGGGUGUAGCGGUGAAAUUCGUAGAUAUUGGGAAGAACACCGGUGGCGAAGGCGGCUCACUGGCUCAUUUCUGACGCUCAGGCGCGACAGCGUGGGGAUCAAACAGG